RNAcentral lists this ribosomal RNA (1447 nucleotides) under uncultured Pelagibacterales bacterium. RNAcentral describes it as "bacterial SSU rRNA". It matches the Rfam family "Bacterial small subunit ribosomal RNA". Lineage: Bacteria; Pseudomonadati; Pseudomonadota; Alphaproteobacteria; Candidatus Pelagibacterales. The record is from RNAcentral.
UUAGAGUUUGAUCCUGGCUCAGAACGUACGCUGGCGGCACGCCUAACACAUGCAAGUCGAACGAAGUAGCAAUACUUAGUGGCAGACGGGUGAGUAACAUGUAGGUAUCUGCCCUUUGGCCUGGAAUAACACGAGGAAACUUGUGCUAAUACUGGAUAAGUCUUUACGGAGAAAGCUUUAUGCACCAUUGGAUGAGCCUGCACUUGAUUAGUUUGUUGGUGGGGUAAUGGCCUACCAAGACUGUGAUCAAUAGCUGAUUUGAGAGGAUGAUCAGCCACAUUGGGACUGAGACACGGCCCAAACUCCUACGGGAGGCAGCAGUGGGGAAUCUUGCACAAUGGAGGAAACUCUGAUGCAGCGAUGCCGCGUGAGUGAAGAAGGCCCUUGGGUUGUAAAGCUCUUUCGUCGGGGAAGAAAAUGACUGUACCCGAAUAAGAAGGUCCGGCUAACUUCGUGCCAGCAGCCGCGGUAAUACGAAGGGACCUAGCGUAGUUCGGAAUUACUGGGCUUAAAGAGUUCGUAGGUGGUUGAAAAAGUUAGUGGUGAAAUCCCAGAGCUUAACUCUGGAACUGCCAUUAAAACUUUUCAGCUAGAGUAUGAUAGAGGAAAGCAGAAUUUCUAGUGUAGAGGUGAAAUUCGUAGAUAUUAGAAAGAAUACCAAUUGCGAAGGCAGCUUUCUGGAUCAUUACUGACACUGAGGAACGAAAGCAUGGGUAGCGAAGAGGAUUAGAUACCCUCGUAGUCCAUGCCGUAAACGAUGUGUGUUAGACGUUGGAAAUUUAUUUUCAGUGUCGCAGGGAAACCGAUAAACACACCGCCUGGGGAGUACGACCGCAAGGUUAAAACUCAAAUGAAUUGACGGGGACCCGCACAAGUAGUGGAGCAUGUGGUUUAAUUCGAAGAUACGCGCAGAACCUUACCAACACUUGACAUGUUCGUCGCGACUCUAAGAGAUUAGAGUUUUCGGUUCGGCCGGACGAAACACAGGUGCUGCAUGGCUGUCGUCAGCUCGUGUCGUGAGAUGUUGGGUUAAGUCCCGCAACGAGCGCAACCCUCACUUUUAGUUGCCAUCAUUAAGUUGGGCACUCUGAAAGAACUGCCAGUGAUAAGCUGGAGGAAGGUGGGGAUGACGUCAAGUCCUCAUGGCCCUUACGUGUUGGGCUACACACGUGCUACAAUGGUAUCUACAACAGGAAGCAAGACUGCGAAGUUAAGCAAAUCCCUAAAAGAUACCUCAGUUCGGAUUGCACUCUGCAACUCGAGUGCAUGAAGCUGGAAUUACUAGUAAUCGUGGAUCAGCGUGCCACGGUGAAUGCGUUCCCGGGUCUUGUACACACCGCCCGUCACACCAUGGGAGUUGGUUCUACCUUAAGGCAAGGUUUUAAACCCUUGACCACGGUAUAGUCAGCGACUGGGGUGAAGUCGUAACAAGGUAACCAAGGGCGAA